This is a ribosomal RNA of Saimiri boliviensis boliviensis (Bolivian squirrel monkey), 108 nucleotides long. The record is from Ensembl. Lineage: Eukaryota; Metazoa; Chordata; Mammalia; Primates; Cebidae.
GUCUACAGCCAUACCACCCUGUGCGCCCAAUCUCUUCUGAUCUUGGAAGCUAAGCGGGGUUGGGCCUGGUUAGGACUUAGAUGAGAGAAUGUAAGCUCACUGGGGGCA